Molecule: ribosomal RNA, 460 nt
Filed under: uncultured bacterium
Lineage: Bacteria
Description: partial 16S ribosomal RNA
Rfam family: Bacterial small subunit ribosomal RNA
Source: RNAcentral
CCUACGGGAGGCAGCAGUGAGGAAUAUUGGUCAAUGGACGAGAGUCUGAACCAGCCAAGUAGCGUGAAGGAUGACUGCCCCAUGGGUUGUAAACUUCUUUUAUAUGGGAAUAAAAUGUUCCACGUGUGGGAUUCUGUAUGUACCAUAUGAAUAAGGAUCGGCUAACUCCGUGCCAGCAGCCGCGGUAAUACGGAGGAUCCGAGCGUUAUCCGGAUUUAUUGGGUUUAAAGGGAGCGUAGGUGGAUUGUUAAGGCAGUUGUGAAAGUUUGCGGCUCAACCGUAAAAUUGCAGUUGAAACUGGCAGUCUUGAGUACAGUAGAGGUGGGCGGAAUUCGUGGGGUAGCGGUGAAAUGCUUAGAUAUCACGAAGAACUCCGAUUGCGAAGGCAGUUCAAUGGACUGCAACUGACACUGAGGCUCGAAAGUGUGGGUAUCAAACAGGAUUAGAUACCCCGGUAGUC